Molecule: non-coding RNA, 4091 nt
Organism: Callithrix jacchus (white-tufted-ear marmoset)
Lineage: Eukaryota; Metazoa; Chordata; Mammalia; Primates; Cebidae
Source: RefSeq, a predicted model, not a curated record
GGCUUAGCUUUGUAUGAGCUCCAUUCUGAGAACCUGGGAGGGUGAGUCUGUGCCAAUAUCCUGCUGUGCUGCGGGAUGGAGCCCAGCCUUGAUCUUUUGGGUUGCCACCAGAAUAAAGCUGCAGAUAGAAAAUGUGUGGGGGGGGAGAGUGGAAGAAGGAAUCUCAGAGGGGAAGAAAGGACCUCCAGCUUCAAUUUGAGACAAUUUUACAAGAAAGAAAAAGUUUACCAACCUUUGGUUUCGAACAUGAACAAGAGUUCUGCCAGUCUGACGUGUACUUUUGAUCAGUAAUUUGCCCAUGGUCAGACACACAUUUCUCUCUUGUUACCCAGGCUGGAGUGCAAUGGCAUGAUCUCGGCUCACCGCAACCCCCAACUCCUGGAUUCAGGCAAUUCUCCUGCCUCAGCCUCCUGAGUAGCUGUUGAAGCCACCUCUGAAGCAUCUCAAAUCUGUCCAUUAUUAUUUCACCAUCUCUUCUGUCAAGAUCCACAUCUUCAUUUGAAUAUUGAGGAAUCAAACCAAGAGUUUAUGGUGAAAAGUGAAGAACUCUACGACUCCCUCAUGAAUUGCCACUGGCAGCCGCUGGAUACAGUUGACUCAGAAAUUCCAGAUGACACCCCAAAGUGAAGCAAGAUGUUCAUUAAGCUCCCCAGUUAUCAUAUUAAUUGUGUCUUCUUUUGUUUAGGGAAAAAAGUAGUUCUCCCAGGAAGGUACUGGAUUCUGUAUAUGAAAACUAGCAUCCAGGGCUUAUGUGUGAUUGACAUAAGAGAACAUUAAUGUAAAUAAACUUCACCAGCACAUCUGUUCCUGGAAGUGUGUUAUAUUAGGUAAGUGUCAGAAGAGCUCAUGUGGUGAUCAUGGUAGAACAAGCUGUGAUACAAAACCCUCGGAAAAUAGGUUUAAUAUGAGGUGGGUUUGAGCUGAACUGAUUGUGGCAUUGCCUACUAUGAUAUGAUUCGCUGCUUUCUGUAACUUCAAACUCUCUUAGAAAUUAUAUCCAUAGGCAAUGUAAGGUUCCUUGCUUCUGUCUUGUCUAGAAAAUGUUAGUUAGAACUGGAUGCUUGAUCUCCAUUUCCUGGCCCCAUGAGAGAGAGCUAAAGGUGGUGGUAGAGACUCAAUUGAACAGAAAGAUUCCUAAGCAUCAGGCUGGGCGUGGUGGCUCACACCUGUAAUUCCAGCACUUUGGGAGGCUGAGGUGGGAGAAUCAGCUGAGGUUGGGAGAUUGAUAUCAGCCUGACCGACAUGGAGAAACCCUGUCUUUACUAAAGAUACAAAAAUUAGCUGGGUAUGGUGGCACAUGCCUAUAAUCCCAACUACUCAGGAGGCUGGGGCAGGAGAAUCGCUUGAACCCAGGAGGCAGAGGUUCAAGUGAGCUGAGAUUGUACCAUGGCACACCAGCUUGGGCAACAAAGUGAAAUUCUGUCUCAAAAACAACAAAAACAAAUCAACAACGAAAAAGCAUGGAAAAGGUUUGCUUGAUCCAAACAACCUGUCAUCUUUCUAAGAUAGAGGAAUUAGGCCCUCACAAAAGCCAGCCAAUGUGUAUAUCGACUGUGUUCCUUAUAAGAUUUUUUUUUUUGUCCUGAAAUAAUCAUUGUGUCCUGAUACUUAAGUGACCCCAGGGACUGAUCUGACUGAGUUGACCACUAGAAGGCUGAUUGCUUAGAAGGAAGUUGAUCAGACUGUGGGCAAAGGCAAUCUGACAUCUCUUCUGCUCUGAAGGUGCUUGACAGAUGCUAAUCCUUGCGUUAACCAGGUUCAAAGACCUGAAACCUGGGUGGAGAGCCAGGUGGGCUGAAGCCACUAUAAAGGAGCUUCUUCUGCCCCGUGGUUUCUCAACCUUGGCACUAUUGCCAUUUGGGGCUGGACGCAUCUUUGCUGUGGGAGACUGUCUUGCACGUUGUCCUGACCUCUACUGCUAGAUGCCAGAGGCACCCUGCACUACAGUGGUGACAACCAAAAUGUCUCUAGACAUUGCCAAAUGUUCCCAAUGUUUUGUAUCUUUAGUAAAGACAAAAUUGUCCCCCCCCACACACACACAAUUGAAAACCACUGGAAUAGGGCAAUGUUUUCAAACUAGGGUGUAUCAGAAUCUCCUAGAAGGCUUGUUGAAACACAGAUUCUUGUGCACCAUCCUGAGUUUGAUUCAAUAAGUUUUGGGUGGAACCUGACGAUUUUCAAUUCUCUAAAAAGUUUCUGGAUAACAACACUCUGAAAACCACUGGCACAGGGAUAUUCUCAACUAGUUCAGCUUAGUUCUACCUAGAACAGAGGGUGAAGUUCUGCUUUCACUCUUCCCUCCUUAAUACAAGCUGUGCAAGUCCCUACUUUCCUACAAGGCCUGGCUUGAUCAGCCUUCCUCCUCUAGCCAUAUGUUUUGGGGACCAGCACUAUAUUCAGCUCCAGGGAAUGGCUUUCAUAGCAUCUGAGUCAUGUGUAGUAAUCCCAUUCUUGUUGCCAGUGAUCAGUGAAGACAUCUGAUAAAAUUCUGGCUAACAAGAUGUGAGGUGAUGUUUUCUCAUUUUUAAAAGGAGGAACAAAAAAAGAGACAGCUGCAGUCUCGUACUGAGCAUUAGUUUUAGAUGUGAUGCCUGGUACUGUGGCAGACAUACUGUGACUAUCAGGAAAACAAUCUUAGGGUAGUGCUGAUGCACCUGGGAUGGCAGUGAAGGGUGAUGGAAAGACCCUGGAUCCAUGAUAAUGGCUUCGAAGCUGUUGAAUUAGCCAACCCUGGAUUCUCUCUUAUCUGGACUUAGGUGUAAUCCAUUCUGAAUUUUUGUUAUUUCUAGCAAAGUAUCCUGACUCUAGCAUGGAUAGAUACAGAUAGCAUGUGUGUAGAGCUGUGCUGUCUGAUAUCACAGCCACUAGCCACAUAUGGCUAUUAAAUUUCUAUUUAAGCAAAAUUAAAACUUUGCUUUUCCUUUUGCACUAGGUACAUUGCAAGCGUUCAGUAGCCACACGUUGCUAGGGGCUACCGUAUUGCGUAGCACUGGUCUUACAGGACUUAGAGGUAAGACCAGUGCUACGCAAUACGGUAGCCCCUAGCAACAUGGUAGCCCUGAGAUUAGGUUAGGUGGAUUCUCAAUUUUUCUUCACACUCUUUUUUUAAUUGUCCCCCCUCUAUAAGAUUUUAAUUCCAUAUUUAUUAUAUAUGCUCUAUGCCUGUUCCUUACACAUUGGAAAAAGUAAGACUUAUCCCCUCUCUAUUCCUCCAGAACCAAUUUUCACCUCCUUGGAGGUUGAUACUGUUCCCUGUUGCAAAUACAUGGCUAGUGUGGUAGUCAUAAGUAAGUUUAGGCAGGGAUUUUAGGUCACUGUAAAGAAUUUGGAUUUUAUUAAAAUUAGGAGACAAUGAAAGAAUUUUAAGCAUAGGAUUGGCAUGGUCAGUUUUGCCUUUAGAAAGUUACUUGAAAGGCAGAGGGGCCAAGAUAGCUGAUUAGAAGCAGCUGCAGUGCUCAUGGAGAGGAAUGAAAGUGGCGAGUGAAUUUAGCACCUUCAACUGAAAUAUCCAGGUUCUUGCAUUGGGACUGAUUAGGAAAACAACUGGACCCACAGAGAACAAAGAAAAGGGUGGGGUGAUGACCCAAUUGGGAACAGCCUGGGUCCAAAGGAACCCCUGCUCCCAGCCAAGGGAAGUGGUGAGUGUGAGUGGUGCAACCCCACUCAUGAAACCACACUUCCCCCAUGGAUCUUUGCAACCUGCAGAUCAGGAGACCCCUUGUGAGCUCAUACCACCAGGAGCCUUUUAAACAUAUGAAUGUAUGCUGAUGCUUUCAUUUUGUCCUGAGCUCCCUCAUCACACCCUAAAUCCAGAUCUUCUUAAUCAAGCUUCAUCAAGUUCUGCAUGCCAUGUUAUAUGCUGCCCUACCAAACUGAGUUUAACAAUGCUGCCCAAAACCUUAGAAGCAUUAUCUAACUGCUAACUUCUAUUCAUUCUCAUCAAGCCUUAUUGUGUGAUGCUAUGCCCCUUACGGACAUACACACUGUAUGUCAUUCAAUCUAAAAUUCUACUAAAUGUAAGUUCCAUAAUUUCUUGUACCACUAAGAAAUAUAAAACCUUGCCAAUUAAACUAUGACAAUACUUUGUUUAA